UACGGGGGGGGCAAGCGUUGUUCGGAAUUACUGGGCGUAAAGGGCUCGUAGGCGGCCAACUAAGUCAGACGUGAAAUCCCUCGGCUUAACCGGGGAAUGCAUCUGAUACUGGAUGGCUUGAGAUUGGGAGAGGGAUGCAGAAUUCCAGGUGUAGCGGUGAAAUGCGUAGAUAUCUGGAGGAAUACCGGUGGCGAAGGCGGCAUCCUGGACCGGCAUUGACGCUGAGGAGCGAAAGCCAGGGGAGCAAACGGG
RNAcentral lists this ribosomal RNA (252 nucleotides) under uncultured bacterium. RNAcentral describes it as "partial 16S ribosomal RNA". It matches the Rfam family "Bacterial small subunit ribosomal RNA", at positions 524 to 776 of the family's 1533-position model. The record is from RNAcentral.